Long non-coding RNA from Halichondria panicea, 1267 nucleotides. RefSeq lists it as uncharacterized. NCBI's taxonomy places the organism in Eukaryota, Metazoa, Porifera, Demospongiae, Suberitida, Halichondriidae. The record is from RefSeq and is a predicted model, not a curated record. The transcript is spliced from 4 exons.
UGAACUUGUGUUAAAGCAUAGAUUGAAGAGUUAGAGGGAUAGGAAACGAAGUGGUGCACGUGAUGAUUUUACAUUGAAUCUGCAGUGGAGCCUCGAAAACUAUCCUCGCCCUAUGAACGAGGCUAUUAUGCCGGGUAACUCCCUCAAAAUAAGAAAGUUGUGUUUCCUCGAGACAUCAUCUCUUUCAGCAAUUUAUAACACGCCUAGUCCAUGAGCCACGUGUAGUACUUGCUAAUGACUGACCACACCCAUGCAGUAAAAAAAGACUUUCUAUAUGUUCCCAAGGCUGUUUUAGAGCUAAAGGAACAUGUAACGUGUAAGCGUGCUGGUUAUGACUACUACAAUAGGUAUAGACCUUGAAAUAUAAUUGGUCCACCAACCCUAUGCCAAGAAUGUCCAACCCUGUGCCAAGAAUGUCCUGGUUGGCUCCAACAUGAGCAUCAAGAUCUACAAUGUGGGCUCCUUCGACAUGACCUUUGAGAGCAGAGACUCAUGAGCAUCAAGAUCUACAAUGUGGGCUCCUUCGACAUGACCUUUGAGAGCAGAGACUCGUCAUGAAGUGGCUAGCCCCAGAGACUCUCUUUGAUCAGGCUGCCACUACAUACAGCGAUGUGAUACCUACAUACACUGUAGAUGUUAUUGUCUCUGCUUUUUAUGUGCAUGCAUGUCCUGCAAAUAUUAUUAGCAUGCAAUGUCAAGUACGUAGAUCAAUUGUGACCCAUGCUCAAUGUUUUGCAGGCGAUCGUUUGGUGUGGCACUGUGGGAGCUGGUGACUGUGGGGGGUACCCCCUAUGGGGAGAUUCAGCCUGAGGACCUCUAUACUCACAACUCAUGAACGGAAUGAGAAUGCCCUGUCCUCAGCACUGCGCCCAAGAAAUCCAUGAACUCAUGCUGGAUUGUUGGAGGAGGAAUCCAGUGGAUCGCCCACACUUCUCUGUUAUCCAUGAGAAGCUUGAAGACCUGGCUAAUUCUAAAGUGAAUCUGUUGGACUUCCAAAACUAUGACAUGUACAUCUACUCUCAAUUUGAAGAACCCGUCGCUCUCUCAACUGUUCUAUAGCACUAACACUCUGUCAUGGCACUCAACAACCAUUUUUAUUUAUCUUUUUGUUUCUGUCUCACAAUCAUUUAUCUAUUUUCUUGACCUUGGUAAUUUGUUUUUAGUUUUUCUUCCGUGUUGUUUUUGUACGUACGUACAAUUUAUACAUCAGCUGCAGUUGUAAUACUAUAACGUCACGUAUCUAUACUAUUAUAAUUGAUAUACAGUA